Molecule: transfer RNA, 69 nt
Filed under: Ducetia sp. NS-2016
Lineage: Eukaryota; Metazoa; Arthropoda; Insecta; Orthoptera; Tettigoniidae
Description: tRNA-Gln
Source: RNAcentral
UAUAUUUUAGUGUAUGAUGCACGGGAAUUUUUGAUAUUUCAAGAAACAGUUUGAUUCUGUUAAAUAUAA